AUUUAGCCUCUGGCUCUCUGUCUGGACCAUGUCUUCUGGUGAUUCCAGAAAUGAGGCAGAAUGAGAGCUGUAUCAAAUUAUGUGCAAUAAAAUAUUAAAUUUUAUAUGUUGAUAAGGAUUUUGAUUAUUUCACUGUGGACAUGGAGAAAGAAGUGAAAGAAUUUCAUUCAACAUUCAUGGGGAAAGAGAAUACAAAAUGAAUGUGUAUGUGUUCAGAUUGGCAGAUGGGCUAGUAACAAGGAAUGGAAAGAUGAGGAUUUUAAUUUCCAUCUGGUGUGAAGUUUUAUUCCGUUGCCCCUUCAGUGUAUUACAGUGUUGACUAGAAAUGGCACUUCAGUGAACCAGUUUGCCAAGCAAAUGUCUGAAUUAUUCUCCACUGAAAGUAGCUGGUAUGGUUGACAUUUGUUUUUAUUUUUGACAGAGAGACAGAUACAGAGAGACAGAAAGAGAGAGAGAGAGAGAGAGAGAGAGAGAGAGAAUAAAUGGGGGAGGGGCAGAAGUAGAGAAAGAAAG
This 513-nucleotide long non-coding RNA is filed under the name Felis catus (domestic cat). RNAcentral describes it as "lncRNA (ENSFCAG00000041468.2)". The record is from RNAcentral. Lineage: Eukaryota; Metazoa; Chordata; Mammalia; Carnivora; Felidae.